GGAAGUAAAAGUCGUAACAAGGUCUCCGUUGGUGAACCAGCGGAGGGAUCAUUACCGAAGUUACUCUUCAAAACCCAAUGUGAACCCUACCCCUCGCCGCGCGGUUGCCUCGGCGGGAGGGUCCGGAGGGGGGGCGACCCCCCAACGGCCCCGCCCGCCGGCCGCGCCAGACUCUUUACUCUGCAAAAAGCGUACUGCACGAAUCUGAUUCAGAUUUUGAAAAACAAGUCAAAACUUUCAACAACGGAUCUCUUGGUUCUGGCAUCGAUGAAGAACGCAGCGAAAUGCGAUAAGUAAUGUGAAUUGCAGAAUUCAGUGAAUCAUCGAAUCUUUGAACGCACAUUGCGCCCGGCAGCAAUCUGCCGGGCAUGCCUGUCCGAGCGUCAUUUCUGCCCUCGAGCGCGGUUUCGGUUUUCCCGGAGCCGCCGCCCGGUGUUGGGGCACUGCGGGCCCUUCCAGGCGCCCCGCAGGCCCCGAAAUGAAGUGGCGGUCCCGCCGCGGCGCCCCCUGCGUAGUAGUAUCUCACGCCUCGCAUCGGGUCCCGGCGUCGGCCAGCCGUCGAACCUAUUCACUUUUGAUGGUUUGACCUCGGAUCAGGUAGGGUUACCCGCUGAACUUAAGCAUAUCAAUAAGCGGAGGA
This 640-nucleotide ribosomal RNA is filed under the name Chaetothyriales sp. AR-2010. RNAcentral describes it as "eukaryotic LSU rRNA". The stretch from base 233 to 386 matches the Rfam family "5.8S ribosomal RNA". The record is from RNAcentral. Lineage: Eukaryota; Fungi; Ascomycota; Eurotiomycetes; Chaetothyriales.